This 201-nucleotide ribosomal RNA is filed under the name uncultured bacterium. RNAcentral describes it as "partial 16S ribosomal RNA". It matches the Rfam family "Bacterial small subunit ribosomal RNA", at positions 1300 to 1500 of the family's 1533-position model. The record is from RNAcentral.
GCAGGCUGCAACUCGCCUGUAUGAAGUCGGAAUUGCUAGUAAUCGCGGAUCAGCAUGCCGCGGUGAAUACGUUCCCGGGCCUUGUACACACCGCCCGUCACACCAUGAGAGCCGGGAACACCCGAAGUCCGUAGUCUAACCGCAAGGAGGACGCGGCCGAAGGUGGGUUUGGUAAUUGGGGUGAAGUCGUAACAAGGUACC